RNAcentral lists this ribosomal RNA (483 nucleotides) under uncultured bacterium. RNAcentral describes it as "partial 16S ribosomal RNA". It matches the Rfam family "Bacterial small subunit ribosomal RNA", at positions 30 to 507 of the family's 1533-position model. The record is from RNAcentral.
UUGAACGCUGGCGGCAGGCCUAACACAUGCAAGUCGAGCGGAGGCAGGGAGCUUGCUCCUGGAUUCAGCGGCGGACGGGUGAGUAAUGCCUAGGAAUCUGCCUGUUACUGGGGGAUAACGUCCGGAAACGGGCGCUAAUACCGCAUACGUCCUGAGGGAGAAAGUGGGGGAUCUUCGGACCUCACGCUAUCAGAUGAGCCUAGGUCGGAUUAGCUAGUUGGUGGGGUAAAGGCCUACCAAGGCGACGAUCCGUAACUGGUCUGAGAGGAUGAUCAGUCACACUGGAACUGAGACACGGUCCAGACUCCUACGGGAGGCAGCAGUGGGGAAUAUUGGACGAUGGGCGAGAGCCUGAUCCAGCCAUGCCGCGUGUGUGAAGAAGGUCUUCGGAUUGUAGAGCACUUUAAGUUGGGAGGAAGGACAGUAAGUUAAUACCUUGCUGUUUUGACGUUACCAACAGAAUAAGCACCGGCUAACUUCGUG